This 253-nucleotide ribosomal RNA is filed under the name uncultured bacterium. Its description in RNAcentral is "partial 16S ribosomal RNA". It matches the Rfam family "Bacterial small subunit ribosomal RNA", at positions 524 to 776 of the family's 1533-position model. The record is from RNAcentral.
UACGGAGGGUGCAAGCGUUAUCCGGAUUCACUGGGUUUAAAGGGUGCGUAGGCGGAUUCUUAAGUCCGUGGUGAAAUCUCCAAGCUUAACUUGGAAACUGCCAUGGAUACUAUUAGUCUUGAAUGUUGUGGAGGUUAGCGGAAUAUGUCAUGUAGCGGUGAAAUGCUUAGAUAUGACAUAGAACACCAAUUGCGAAGGCAGCUCACUACGGAUAUAUUGACACUGAGGCACGAAAGCGUGGGGAUCAAACAGG